ACUAGGUUAUGUGGUCAGUGCUAAAUGCCACUGAAUCCUUCCAGGCUUCCCAUUCCUUCCACAUACACAGUGCUCAUCAUUAGACCACCUUAGGUUUUUAUUCUCACCUUCAUGAUUGUGCCACCAUGACCUGGAUCUCUUCCUGGUCAUAUGUCUGGGGACAUGGCUCUCCACAUGUAGCAGUCCCUUGAUUCUGAGUGACAAGCAGGAAGAAGAAGCUUCCUCCUGAAGUGUUGCUAGAGGGAGAUGCAGGCUGUCUCUUUAGCUUUGUUUCUGAAAGGAGCAAGCUUACCCCUGCAUCUGCAUCUGCAGUUUUGUGAUCAUUUCACUGCCAAAGGGAUAAGAGCCCAUGUUAUCCUCAAAACCAAACUGAAGCCUGGAUUAGCCAGCUGAAUUCUGUUGUGUGUCUUCUCAUCCAUCAUUGCCUGGAGUGGAGGGAAAUCACGAAAUCACUCCCAAAUGCAGACUCUUAGGGUGAGGCCAGCCAGCCUUUCAGUGAAGCUGCCUGAAAAUCGUACUGAGAAAAACAGUGCAGAAAAGCUCCUGAUGCCAAAAGAGAAAAUUCCAUCUCUGUGGACCACUUCAGAGCAAUCUGGUAAAAGAGGCAUUACAGGUGAGGAAAUGGAGCCUCGAAGAGGUGAAUCCAUUUCCCCAAGGCCAUAUCUAGUAAAACCAUACUGUCGGGAAGUUUGUGCAAGUAUGAUUAUCUGCAUUUUUAAAGGUGAAGAAGUUAAAGGUGAAGAGAGUUUAAAUGACC
RNAcentral lists this long non-coding RNA (757 nucleotides) under Phascolarctos cinereus (koala). RNAcentral describes it as "lncRNA (ENSPCIG00000009932.2)". The record is from RNAcentral. Lineage: Eukaryota; Metazoa; Chordata; Mammalia; Diprotodontia; Phascolarctidae.